Molecule: ribosomal RNA, 481 nt
Filed under: uncultured bacterium
Lineage: Bacteria
Description: partial 16S ribosomal RNA
Rfam family: Bacterial small subunit ribosomal RNA
Source: RNAcentral
UUGCACGCUGGCGGCAUGCUUUACCCAUGCCAGUCGAACGGUAACAGGCCGCAAGGUGCUGACGAGUGGCGAACGGGUGAGUAAUGCAUCGGAACGUGCCCAGUCGUGGGGGAUAACUACUCGAAAGAGUAGCUAAUACCGCAUACGAUCUAUGGAUGAAAGCGGGGGACCGUAAGGCCUCGCGCGAUUGGAGCGGCCGAUGUCAGAUUAGGUAGUUGGUGGGGUAAAGGCUCACCAAGCCAACGAUCUGUAGCUGGUCUGAGAGGACGACCAGCCACACUGGGACUGAGACACGGCCCAGACUCCUACGGGAGGCAGCAGUGGGGAAUUUUGGACAAUGGGCGCAAGCCUGAUCCAGCAAUGCCGCGUGCAGGAAGAAGGCCUUCGGGUUGUAAACUGCUUUUGUACGGAACGAAACGGCUCUGGUUAAUACCCGGGGCUAAUGACGGUACCGUAAGAAUAAGCACCGGCUAACUACGUG